CAAAGACAAAAGCAUAGGGAGAGAGGAAAAAAGGGAAAAAGAGUGAGAAGUAUUAGCAUUGUUCAGGACAGAAGGAGAAAAUGCAUGGAA
Molecule: non-coding RNA, 90 nt
Organism: Pangasianodon gigas (Mekong giant catfish)
Lineage: Eukaryota; Metazoa; Chordata; Actinopteri; Siluriformes; Pangasiidae
Source: the annotation of a GenBank genome assembly